This 2184-nucleotide long non-coding RNA is filed under the name Gallus gallus (chicken). Lineage: Eukaryota; Metazoa; Chordata; Aves; Galliformes; Phasianidae. The record is from RNAcentral.
AAUAGGUCUGCUGGUGGGGAAAAAAAAUAAUGCUGCGUGUAGAAAUCUCUAAGCUUUCAUCCAUUUCUAGGAAACUGGAAUGGGAGGAGCAUUCCUCCUACUCCUGAAGACAUCUGCAGUGUGGGGAUAUAGGGAAACUACUGCAGUACAAGCAUGACUUUAGCAAAUUAAAGUUUGUCAGAAUCUCAGCAAACUUUCCACUGAUCUGGGUUCACUUAUGCUUUUGUUACAGUUCUGGGCUUCUUUCUGAUGUUUCCCUUUGGACGUGUACUUUAAAACUAUUUCAUGAACUUGAGAUGCUUGAUUGUCCGCACAGUCUCAAGAGUAAGCAAGAUAUUUCUUUCUAUGGUCGUCUUCUUCCUCCUCCUCCUGCCUCGUUUUCAACUCAGCAUCUGGCAAAGAUGGACAAACUCUGGGACGUAAAAAUUCCCUUAACUGAAAAGGAGCUCCAUAAGCAGCAGAUCCCAUCAGCACCUGUCUCAGUGUCCCCCAGUGCUUCAUUCCGGCCUAUGAACUCCAGUGUCUAACAAGGACCAGGUUCUGGAUUCUGCAGCCUGCAAGCCUCAGCAGUUUCUCACUCCUACCCAGGCACCUCCUUCUGAGAACUUCACAGACUCUUAAUACAUACCAGCCCCCUGUCAAAUUAGGUUACAACAGACCAUGAGUUCAUAAAAGAUUGGUCGCAUCAUGUGGAAGGAGAGAUUAAUAAUUAAUACAGUCGGUUCUAAUGUGUAAUGACUUUUUUUCAUUAGGAAGUAUGCCUAACAGAAUAAACACACUUCGGCUCUAUUAACGACCAAGAGGCCAACAUUGCUGGUUAUACAGCUAUAAACCAAGAACUGCUCUGAUGCAUCAGCUGCCUUCAGUGACAGCGAAGGGUGACAUAAAGCACCUCACUGGCAGACACACACACCCCACCUAACCACAGCAGUUCUCAACCAGAUAACCAGGCACGUUUAUGAGAAAGGAUGGGGACAGCAGAGAUCAGAUCUCUGAAAGACUCCUCACUUGCGUUUAGCAAAUUAAAACAUCAUGCUAGAAUGUGGAGCACUGUGUGUUAUAAUCUUCCUGUUUUGGUCACAUACUCUAGAAAUAAGAAUAUUUGAACACGUUUUGGAAAAUCCUGUGCUCUGUUGCCUGAGGUACAGUAUCCUCAAAGGACACCGCUGAUCCAACAAACUCCACAAAAUAAGCAAAAUGAGUUUCCUUUGUUGCUUAUGGCUGCUAAAUUAUAAUAAAAGAAUUAUAAAUCUGGGUUCACUUUUUCUAUCAUUGUUUUACGCUUACUUUUAUAUUCUGUUGGAUUAUAACAGAUUAAUUUGUUUUAGUUUUCUUUCUAGCCACUUUUCAAGCUCCAGCUUAGUAACAAGGCUCCAUUUGCUUUCAGAAAAACAAAGUCCCAACAUCUUCCAAAAUUUUUCCAUUUAUGCUACAGUUUCUUAAAAAAAUAAUUGCUAACAACAAUAGUAUUUGGACUUCGACUAGCUGGCAGAGCAAUGUCCUUUGAUAGUUAUCUUCAGACUAUUUUUUAAUACUUUAUGUCACUUCAUUGCUUCAAGACCCAUAUAACUUAUUCUAGCUUGCCAGAGGAAUUCUUGCUCUUACCCCACCACUGACUGCUCUGCCAGGAAAGCCCCUGCUCUUGCCCAUUCUUAAACUGGGUGAUAUUGGGCCCAGAAGGAGAAGCAGAAAGGCGAAAUGGCUGUAACUGUCAGCAUAAGCAGCACUAGUUGCCUUCCAUGCAAUCUCAGGCGAUCCAUCUGUCCUACCUCCAAGCUGUAAGACUGGAGAAAAGACUGCUUUUAUCUCCUGUUUCAAUCAGACUCUUUCAAUUGGAAGUGCGUGUUUGUGCAAGACACAAUGGGGCCACGCCACUGUUUGGAGCUUCCCAGUGCUACUCUGAUACAGAUAACAAAAACAAUUAGAAACAAAAGUACUCUUAUGCUGGGGCACUUUAAAACCUAUAUACGCUGAUCAUAAGUGGACUCAGCUUCAUUUUCUGCAGCAUAUACAGCAGGAUACUUCCCCCACGGUAAUUGACAUUUUGCACUAGCCUGGUUCCAACGAAAAUCGAUCCGAUUCCUUCCUAAUAACAACAGAGAGUCAUCUUGGAUGACAGGUCUUAGCCAUUAAUUUAAUUGAUCACACAUACUGAUCCAGAUUUGGGGAAAUAUUAUUCUAGCA